AUGAACGCUGGCGGCAGGCCUAACACAUGCAAGUCGAGCGGUAACACAGGGAGCUUGCUCCUGGGUGACGAGCGGCGGACGGGUGAGUAAUGUCUGGGAAACUGCCUGAUGGAGGGGGAUAACUACUGGAAACGGUAGCUAAUACCGCAUAACGUCUUCGGACCAAAGUGGGGGACCUUCGGGCCUCAUGCCAUCAGAUGUGCCCAGAUGGGAUUAGCUAGUAGGUGGGGUAAUGGCUCACCUAGGCGACGAUCCCUAGCUGGUCUGAGAGGAUGACCAGCCACACUGGAACUGAGACACGGUCCAGACUCCUACGGGAGGCAGCAGUGGGGAAUAUUGCACAAUGGGCGCAAGCCUGAUGCAGCCAUGCCGCGUGUAUGAAGAAGGCCUUCGGGUUGUAAAGUACUUUCAGCGAGGAGGAAGGCAUUAAGGUUAAUAACCUUAGUGAUUGACGUUACUCGCAGAAGAAGCACCGGCUAACUCCGUGCCAGCAGCCGCGGUAAUACGGAGGGUGCAAGCGUUAAUCGGAAUUACUGGGCGUAAAGCGCACGCAGGCGGUCUGUCAAGUCGGAUGUGAAAUCCCCGGGCUCAACCUGGGAACUGCAUUCGAAACUGGCAGGCUAGAGUCUUGUAGAGGGGGGUAGAAUUCCAGGUGUAGCGGUGAAAUGCGUAGAGAUCUGGAGGAAUACCGGUGGCGAAGGCGGCCCCCUGGACAAAGACUG
This 722-nucleotide ribosomal RNA is filed under the name Buttiauxella sp. Its description in RNAcentral is "bacterial SSU rRNA". It matches the Rfam family "Bacterial small subunit ribosomal RNA", at positions 29 to 742 of the family's 1533-position model. The record is from RNAcentral. Lineage: Bacteria; Pseudomonadati; Pseudomonadota; Gammaproteobacteria; Enterobacterales; Enterobacteriaceae.